This 72-nucleotide transfer RNA is filed under the name Thelohanellus kitauei. Its description in RNAcentral is "tRNA-Glu for anticodon UUC". It matches the Rfam family "tRNA". Rfam says of the family: Transfer RNA (tRNA) molecules are approximately 80 nucleotides in length. Their secondary structure includes four short double-helical elements and three loops (D, anti-codon, and T loops). Further hydrogen bonds mediate the characteristic L-shaped molecular structure. tRNAs have two regions of fundamental functional importance: the anti-codon, which is responsible for specific mRNA codon recognition, and the 3' end, to which the tRNAs corresponding amino acid is attached (by aminoacyl-tRNA synthetases). tRNAs cope with the degeneracy of the genetic code in two manners: having more than one tRNA (with a specific anti-codon) for a particular amino acid; and 'wobble' base-pairing, i.e. permitting non-standard base-pairing at the 3rd anti-codon position. The record is from Rfam by way of RNAcentral. Lineage: Eukaryota; Metazoa; Cnidaria; Myxozoa; Bivalvulida; Myxobolidae.
UCCCCUAUGGUCUAGUGGCUAGGAUUUCACGUUUUCACCGUGAAGGCCCGGGUUCGACUCCCGAUGGGGGAA